UAGUUUUAAGAUGCAUUGGUAGUCCCCAAAGUUGAAUCCAUAUAGGACAGUGAGAAAAAUCAAGGUUGUAUAUAUUUAUGUUCUUUUCUCGAGCAUGUAGGAUCAGGCAGCAAUUCCUUAUUAUCCAUGGGAUCCCUUUUUGAAUUCUUUUGAAAUCUGCAUCAUAUUUCAUAGCUAUUUGAUACAUAUUUCCUUGAAUUUCUGUGACUUUUAAACCAGUGGGAUUACACCAAAUUCCAGCCAGCGCAUUCUGAAUAGUUAUCUUUUGUAUAGGUUUAUCUGUCAAGAACUUGCCAAUGAAGCUGUUUUUGCAAGCUUCAAGGCCUUCUUGAGCAUCUGAAGUAUUGUAAGCAUAUACUAUGCAGUUGCUUAGUUUGUGGCAAGGAAAGACUCAAAACUAUGGUAGCAUGACUAACUAGAACUGUCUUAGUAAUUUGCUCUUUUUUUUUUCUUUUCAGAUGUUAGUUGUUGAAAUUUUUAAGAAAGCCUAAUCAAAAGCUUGGGUAUAGCAUAAGUAAAGGUUAUAAAGAUUUGCUAUGCCAUGAUAGAAGAUGGGUUGCUAUGGUGGCAUGAAACCUGUCUAAAUACUUACAAUUAAAG
RNAcentral lists this long non-coding RNA (600 nucleotides) under Trifolium pratense (red clover). RNAcentral's name for it is "long non-coding RNA (TPRA_LNC001961)". The record is from RNAcentral. Lineage: Eukaryota; Viridiplantae; Streptophyta; Magnoliopsida; Fabales; Fabaceae.